AAAAACGACCAAACCUCCCUGAAUGCACCGAUCUCGUCACAUUUCAGAAGCUAAGCAGGUUUGAGCCUGGUUAGUACUGAGGUAGGAAUCCUAUGUGGUCUA
Molecule: ribosomal RNA, 102 nt
Filed under: Petromyzon marinus (sea lamprey)
Lineage: Eukaryota; Metazoa; Chordata; Hyperoartia; Petromyzontiformes; Petromyzontidae
Source: RNAcentral